This 497-nucleotide ribosomal RNA is filed under the name uncultured bacterium. RNAcentral's name for it is "partial 16S ribosomal RNA". It matches the Rfam family "Bacterial small subunit ribosomal RNA", at positions 28 to 507 of the family's 1533-position model. The record is from RNAcentral.
GAUGAACGCUGGCGGCGUGCCUAAUACAUGCAAGUCGAGCGAACAGACGAGGAGCUUGCUCCUCUGACGUUAGCGGCGGACGGGUGAGUAACACGUGGAUAACCUACCUAUAAGACUGGGAUAACUUCGGGAAACCGGAGCUAAUACCGGAUAAUAUAUUGAACCGCAUGGUUCAAUAGUGAAAGACGGUUUUGCUGGCACUUAUAGAUGGAUCCGCGCCGCAUUAGCUAGUUGGUAAGGUAACGGCUUAGCAGGGCGACGAGGCGUAUGCGACCUGAGGGGGGGAUCGGCCACACUGGAAGUUGGACACCGUCCAGACGCCUGCGGGAGGCAGCAGUAGGGAAUCUGCCGCAAUGGGCGAAAGCCUGACGGAGCAGCGCCGAGUGAGUGAUGAAGGUCUUCCGAUCGUAAAACUCGGUUAUUAGUGAAGAACAAAUGUGUAAGUAACUAUACACGUCUUGACGGUAACGAAUCAGAAAGCCACGGCUAACUACGUG